Molecule: ribosomal RNA, 520 nt
Filed under: uncultured Entrophospora
Lineage: Eukaryota; Fungi; Glomeromycota; Glomeromycetes; Entrophosporales; Entrophosporaceae
Description: SSU rRNA
Rfam family: Eukaryotic small subunit ribosomal RNA
Source: RNAcentral
AGCAGCCGCGGUAAUUCCAGCUCCAAUAGCGUAUAUUAAAGUUGUUGCAGUUAAAAAGCUCGUAGUUGAAUUUCGGGAUUGACACAUCGGUCGUGCCUUAAGGGGUAUGAACUGGUGUAGUCAAUUUCUCACCUUCUGGAGAACCACGAUGCCCUUAAUUGGGUGUCGCGGGGAACCAGGACCUUUACUUUGAAAAAAUUAGAGUGUUUAAAGCAGGCAUUUUGCUUGAAUACAUUAGCAUGGAAUAAUAAAUAGGACGGCAUGAUUCUAUUUUGUGGUUUCUAGGAUCACCGUAAUGAUUAAUAGGGAUAGUUGGGGGCAUUAGUAUUCAAUUGUCAGAGGUGAAAUUCUUGGAUUUAUUGAAGACUAACUACUGCGAAAGCAUUUGCCAAGGAUGUUUUCAUUAAUCAAGACGAAAGUUAGGGGAUCGAAGACGAUCAGAUACCGUCGUAGUCUUAACCAUAAACUAUGCCGACUAGGAAUCAGACGAUGUAAUUUUUAAUGUACUCGUUUGGCACCU